RNAcentral lists this transfer RNA (70 nucleotides) under Osteochilus melanopleura. RNAcentral describes it as "tRNA-Pro". It matches the Rfam family "tRNA". Rfam says of the family: Transfer RNA (tRNA) molecules are approximately 80 nucleotides in length. Their secondary structure includes four short double-helical elements and three loops (D, anti-codon, and T loops). The record is from RNAcentral. Lineage: Eukaryota; Metazoa; Chordata; Actinopteri; Cypriniformes; Cyprinidae.
CAGAAAAUAGUUUAAUUUAUAAUUCUGGCUUUGGGUGUCAGAGGUGGGAGUUGGAGUCUCUCUUUUCUGG